AGAGAGAGAGAGAGAGAGAGAGAGAGAGGAUCGGGAGGGGAGAGGAUUUAUAGGAACAGGUUUCGGUUGAACUGGAUUGACUAGCCGAAUCAUUCCAGUAAUAAGUUGGUCCGGUUUGGUAUGCUCCGAAUUACUCGGUUUGGGAUGGUUCAAUGGUCCUUGGUGGAAAAAUCAAGCUAUAAGAGUAUAACUAAUGCUUGCUGAAGAUGGUUAUUGCUUGCAUAAAAGUACUUGACGCAAUGCAAUGUGAUGCUUUUCGAGAAGAGGGCUGGUAUGAUUUGUUUUGUUGUCCAUCAUGAAAGAUCAACCAAAGAACUUAGUAUGUACAAAGUUUUAAAUCUUUUUAACCUUCUUUAAUUGCGGAAGAAGAGGCAUAAGAGAUGGACUGAUUGAAAAGUUCCUCUGAAAUUCUUAGAUGCUUUUGUAAAUAAUGAUGGAAACAAGAGGGUACCGUGGUCAUAAAAAGUUUGACCUAGUUGUCUUAGUUUAUUGCCUUUAAAAUAAUCCACUAUAGUUGGUAUGGGAUCUUUUAGUGAAACAACAAGAUGAUCAUAGAGAUCUGCUCCAAAUGGAAGGAAUGAUCCCAUUAUAGAUACUAAACCCGCUGU
RNAcentral lists this long non-coding RNA (608 nucleotides) under Phoenix dactylifera (date palm). RNAcentral describes it as "long non-coding RNA (PDAC_LNC019290)". The record is from RNAcentral. Lineage: Eukaryota; Viridiplantae; Streptophyta; Magnoliopsida; Arecales; Arecaceae.